UACGGAAGGCAGCAGUGGGGAAUAUUGCACAAUGGGCGCAAGCCUGAUGCAGCCAUGCCGCGUGUAUGAAGAAGGCCUUCGGGUUGUAAAGUACUUUCAGUCGUGAGGAAGGUGUUAAGGUUAAUAACCUUAGCAAUUGACGUUAGCGACAGAAGAAGCACCGGCUAACUCCGUGCCAGCAGCCGCGGUAAUACGGAGGGUGCGAGCGUUAAUCGGAAUUACUGGGCGUAAAGGGCACGCAGGCGGUUAAUUAAGUUGGAUGUGAAAUCCCCGGGCUUAACCUGGGAAUGGCAUUCAAGACUGGUUAGCUAGAGUCUUGUAGAGGGGGUAGAAUUCCAUGUGUAGCGGUGAAAUGCGUAGAGAUGUGGAGGAAUACCGGUGGCGAAAGGCGGCCCCUGGCAAAGGACUGACGCUCAUGUGCGAAAGCGUGGGGAGCAAACAGGGAUUAGAUACC
RNAcentral lists this ribosomal RNA (454 nucleotides) under uncultured bacterium. RNAcentral's name for it is "bacterial SSU rRNA". It matches the Rfam family "Bacterial small subunit ribosomal RNA", at positions 340 to 786 of the family's 1533-position model. The record is from RNAcentral.